AAACUUGAUUGAUGUAAGUGGUGGUUUGGAGACAGAAUCCUCUAAUGGAAAAGAUACACUAGAAGGUGCUGGGGAUACUUCAGAGGUGAUGGAUACUCAGGUGGAUGAAGAGAAUGGUCGGCAGCUGGGAGAGGUAGAGCGGCAGUGUGGGAUAUGUACCAAGUGGUUCACUGCAGAUACAUUUGGCAUAGAUACCUCAUCCUGUCUUCCUUUCAUGACCAACUACAGUUUUCAUUGCAAUGUAUGCCAUCAUAGCGGGUACACCUAUUUCCUCCGGAAGCGAGCAAACUUGAAAGAAAUGUGCCUUAGUGCUUUGGCUAACCUAACAUGGCAGUCCAGAACACAGGAUGAACAUCCGAAAACCAUGUUCUCCAAAGAUAAGGAUAUUAUACCACUUAUUGAUAAAUACUGGGAAUGCAUGACCACCAGAAAGAGACCUGGGAAAAUGACUUGGCUAAAUAACAUUGUUAAAACAAUGAGUAAAGAAAGAUGUAUUCUUGGUAAAGGAACACCCUGAUCCUGGGAGUAAAGACCCGGAAGAAGAUUACCCCAAAUUUGGACUUUUAGAUCAGGACCUUAGUAACAUUGGUCCUGCUUAUGACAACCAAAAACAAAGCAGUGCUGUGUCUACCAGUGGGAAUCUAAAUGGGGGAAUUGCCACAGGAAGCAACAGGAAAGGAAGAGGAGCUAAGCGCAAGCAGCAGGAUGGCGGGACCACAGGGACCACCAAAAAGGCCCGAAGUGACCCUUUGUUUUCUGCUCAACGCCUUCCCCCUCAUGGCUACCCCUUGGAACACCCAUUUAAUAAAGAUGGCUAUCAGUAUAUUUUAGCUGAGCCUGAUCCCCACGCCCCUGACCCUGAGAAGCUUGAACUUGACUGCUGGGCGGGAAGACCUAUUCCUGGAGACCUCGACAGAGCCUGCUUGUGUGAACCGGUUUUGUUAGCCCUACAUGAUCGAGCUCCUCAGCU
This is an RNA transcript of Carlito syrichta (Philippine tarsier), 970 nucleotides long. It is a transcript of the gene named set1/Ash2 histone methyltransferase complex subunit ASH2 pseudogene, with no coding region annotated. The record is from RefSeq and is a predicted model, not a curated record. The transcript has a single exon. Lineage: Eukaryota; Metazoa; Chordata; Mammalia; Primates; Tarsiidae.